AUUGGACGCUGGCGGCAGGCCUAACACAUGCAAGUCGAGCGGAUGAAGGGAGCUUGCUCCUGGAUUCAGCGGCGGACGGGUGAGUAAUGCCUAGGAAUCUGCCUGGUAGUGGGGGAUAACGUCCGGAAACGGGCGCUAAUACCGCAUACGUCCUGAGGGAGAAGGUGGGGGAUCUUCGGACCUCACGCUAUCAGAUGAGCCUAGGUCGGAUUAGCUAGUUGGUGGGGUAAAGGCCUACCAAGGCGACGAUCCGUAACUGGUCUGAGAGGAUGAUCAGUCACACUGGAACUGAGACACGGUCCAGACUCCUACGGGAGGCAGCAGUGGGGAAUAUUGGACAAUGGGCGAAAGCCUGAUCCAGCCAUGCCGCGUGUGUGAAGAAGGUCUUCGGAUUGUAAAGCACUUUAAGUUGGGAGGAAGGGCAGUAAGUUAAUACCUUGCUGUUUUGACGUUACCAACAGAAUAAGCACCGGCUAACUUCGUG
RNAcentral lists this ribosomal RNA (484 nucleotides) under uncultured bacterium. RNAcentral's name for it is "partial 16S ribosomal RNA". It matches the Rfam family "Bacterial small subunit ribosomal RNA", at positions 30 to 507 of the family's 1533-position model. The record is from RNAcentral.